This 587-nucleotide long non-coding RNA is filed under the name Homo sapiens (human). RNAcentral's name for it is "HSALNT0347020". Lineage: Eukaryota; Metazoa; Chordata; Mammalia; Primates; Hominidae. The record is from RNAcentral.
CUACAACGCCUGCUGCUGCAGUGCAAAAAUAAACAGUUCAGAACGCCAGUUUGGAACCAGUAUCAGGAAGCAGUUGGAUUUUCUGAUGCAAAGGGGAUUUUUGCUUCUGCCUGAGAACAGCCGAGAUUAUGUCAUAAGAAAGGGGCAGAAGAAGCAUCACCAACUCUAAGGAACCAAAGUCUCUCCAGCCACCAAAAUGAAUGCAGCUGCCACUUAGGGGAAGUGGACAAGGACAGAACCACCCAGAGAUGAUGGUGAGAAAAGGCAGAAGGCCUGGGAGCUGGAAAAUGACUCCAUGGAGUAAAAGAUCACAGCAUCCUUUGGGACAAGACCGAUGUUCAUGACAAGAAUGAAAACUAAUGCUGCAGCAAUGGAGAUUGUGAAAAUACAAAUUUAAAAAUGCAUACCUAAAGGAAAAUCAAGAAAAAAAGGAAAAUUAAGCAUUAAAUGGAACUCUGAGUAGUUACUAAAAGUAAGAAAAGGCAAAACAAAAUACCACCAGACUCUCUCCAUUACUACUUCCAACUACUGUUUCCCUAUUGACACAUAAUCUCUCAUCUGGAGUUCUGUUUGUGUUAUAAUAAUGA